This 484-nucleotide ribosomal RNA is filed under the name uncultured bacterium. Its description in RNAcentral is "partial 16S ribosomal RNA". It matches the Rfam family "Bacterial small subunit ribosomal RNA", at positions 30 to 507 of the family's 1533-position model. The record is from RNAcentral.
AUUGAACGCUGGCGGCAGGCCUAACACAUGCAAGUCGAGCGGAUGAAGGGAGCUUGCUCCUGGAUUCAGCGGCGGACGGGUGAGUAAUGCCUAGGAAUCUGCCUGGUAGUGGGGGAUAACGUCCGGAAACGGGCGCUAAUACCGCAUACGUCCUGAGGGAGAAAGUGGGGGAUCUUCGGACCUCACGCUAUCAGAUGAGCCUAGGUCGGAUUAGCUAGUUGGUGGGGUAAAGGCCUACCAAGGCGACGAUCCGUAACUGCUCUGAGAGGAUGAUCAGUCACACUGGAACUGAGACACGGUCCAGACUCCUACGGGAGGCAGCAGUGGGGAAUAUUGGACAAUGGGCGAAAGCCUGAUCCAGCCAUGCCGCGUGUGUGAAGAAGGUCUUCGGAUUGUAAAGCACUUUAAGUUGGGAGGAAGGGCAGUAAGUUAAUACCUUGCUGUUUUGACGUUACCAACAGAAUAAGCACCGGCUAACUUCGUG